This 295-nucleotide long non-coding RNA is filed under the name Brachypodium distachyon (stiff brome). Its description in RNAcentral is "long non-coding RNA (BDIS_LNC004006)". The record is from RNAcentral. Lineage: Eukaryota; Viridiplantae; Streptophyta; Magnoliopsida; Poales; Poaceae.
CUCCUUGUUCUUUUUUCUUUCUUUCUUUCUUGAUAAUAACUGGAACGAUAUCUUCAACACGGAUGGGCCGUGUGUACCUUCACACGCAUCUCCGGUCGAUACGGCUUGCGUCAAAUUUCACCUAGUGGCACUGCACACAUGCCGCCACUUGGUAAAUGGAACCAACCGAUACGAUUCGGCCUAAUUCCGGCUACAUCGGGUCGAUUAUUGGUAUACUCAUAGCGUGUGCUUGUAUGCACAGAGAGCCAUUCCAUUCGGGCAUGCAGCGCUCCCAUGCAUUCACAAACCUGUGGUC